RNAcentral lists this non-coding RNA (24 nucleotides) under Arabidopsis thaliana (thale cress). The record is from RNAcentral. Lineage: Eukaryota; Viridiplantae; Streptophyta; Magnoliopsida; Brassicales; Brassicaceae.
UCCACUUGAUCCGCUUAAUCCGCU